CAGCCGCCGCGGUAAUACAGAGGGUGCGAGCGUUAAUCGGAUUUACUGGGAGUAAAGCGUGCGUAGGCGGCUUUUUAAGUCGGAUGUGAAAUCCCUGAGCUUAACUUAGGAAUUGCAUUCGAUACUGGGAAGCUAGAGUAUGGGAGAGGAUGGUAGAAUUCCAGGUGUAGCGGUGAAAUGCGUAGAGAUCUGGAGGAAUACCGAUGGCGAAGGCAGCCAUCUGGCCUAAUACUGACGCUGAGGUACGAAAGCAUGGGGAGCAAACAGGAUUAGAUACCCGAGUAGUCCCUGUCUCUUAUAC
RNAcentral lists this ribosomal RNA (301 nucleotides) under uncultured bacterium. Its description in RNAcentral is "partial 16S ribosomal RNA". It matches the Rfam family "Bacterial small subunit ribosomal RNA", at positions 509 to 807 of the family's 1533-position model. The record is from RNAcentral.